Molecule: ribosomal RNA, 301 nt
Filed under: uncultured bacterium
Lineage: Bacteria
Description: partial 16S ribosomal RNA
Rfam family: Bacterial small subunit ribosomal RNA
Source: RNAcentral
CAGCAGCCGCGGGAAUACGUAGGGCGCAAGCGUUGUCCGGAAUUAUUGGGCGUAAAGAGCUCGUAGGCGGUCUGUCGCGUCUGGUGUGAAAUCCCGAGGCUCAACCUCGGGCUUGCAUCGGGUACGGGCAGACUAGAGUGCGGUAGGGGAGACUGGAAUUCCUGGUGUAGCGGUGGAAUGCGCAGAUAUCAGGAGGAACACCGAUGGCGAAGGCAGGUCUCUGGGCCGCAACUGACGCUGAGGAGCGAAAGCACGGGGAGCGAACAGGAUUAGAGACCCCUGUAGUCCCUGUCUCUUAUAC